RNAcentral lists this unclassified non-coding RNA (239 nucleotides) under uncultured Myrmecridium. RNAcentral describes it as "sequence contains ITS2". The record is from RNAcentral. Lineage: Eukaryota; Fungi; Ascomycota; Sordariomycetes.
AACGCACAUUGCGCCCACUAGUAUUCUGGUGGGCAUGCCUGUUCGAGCGUCAUUUCAACCCUCAAGCCUGGCUUGGUGUUGGGGCUCUGCGUCUGCAGUCCCUUAAAUCCAGUGGCGGACACGCUAGGUCUCCGAGCGCAGUAGUUUCUCCUCGCUCAGGGCGUCCGGCGUGGGCUUGCCUCGCACCCAUCUUUUACACGGUUGACCUCGGAUCAGGUAGGAAUACCCGCUGAACUUAA